RNAcentral lists this long non-coding RNA (476 nucleotides) under Lathyrus oleraceus (garden pea). RNAcentral describes it as "Pisum sativum (pea) long non-coding RNA (PSAT_LNC011689)". Lineage: Eukaryota; Viridiplantae; Streptophyta; Magnoliopsida; Fabales; Fabaceae. The record is from RNAcentral.
UUUCAUGAGUGCAAUAUUGUUGAAGAAUUGACUUUGGUUCUUGAGAUGAACCAUUGGAACAUCUCCAUUUGGUUAUAAAACUAAGCUUGUAAAAGUUAUGUUCGGUUAUUGAGAUUAGCUAGUGAAAUCUCUACAUGAUUCAUGUUCAUACUAUGGAAAAGCUCUCUUUUUAUUGUGGAGAUAAGCUAGUGUAAAAUCUCUCGAUUAGCUUGUAUCAAGAGUUCGUGAGCAUAAUGUCAUACCCAAAUUUUGUCCGGGCAUUUUAAAAUUUCAUAAAUUCAAUUUUAAUUUCAGUUUGUAUCAUAUAUAUAGCAUGACAUUCAUUUCAUCAUUAAUAAUACCUAAAAUAUUAGUCGGAAUAAAUUCUUGAAAAUACAGACAAAUUGGUUAAAUCAUCUCUCAAGUACGUGCAAAAUCAGCGGAUAAAAAGUUUCGAAAUCAAGCUUGCAGACUUCAGUAUUUUUAAUCUACGGUUC